RNAcentral lists this ribosomal RNA (608 nucleotides) under uncultured archaeon. RNAcentral's name for it is "bacterial SSU rRNA". It matches the Rfam family "Archaeal small subunit ribosomal RNA", at positions 59 to 642 of the family's 1478-position model. The record is from RNAcentral.
CGAGCGUCUCCAAGCCAUGGAAGAGACGCGGCACACAGCUCAGUAACACGUGGCUAACCUACCCUUGGGACAGGGACAACUCCGGGAAACUGGAGCUAAUCCUUGAUAAGUGAGAACUUCUGGAAUGGAUUCUCGCUCAAAGGACGUUUAGACCAUGCUUCUAAGCGUCGCCCAAGGAAGGGGCCGCGACCGAUCAGGUUGUUGGUGAGGUAACGGCUCACCAAGCCUUUAACCGGUACGGGCCGUGAGAGCGGAAGCCCGGAGAUGGGCACUGAGACAAGGGCCCAGGCCCUACGGGGCGCAGCAGUCGCGAAAACUCCGCAAUACACGAAAGUGUGACGGGGCCAUCCCGAGUGCCAUCCGCUGAGGAUGGCUUUUCCCCAGUGUAUAAAGCUGGGGGAAUAAGGAGAGGGCAAGCCUGGUGUCAGCCGCCGCGGUAAUACCAGCUCUCCGAGUGGUGGGGAUGCUUAUUGGGCCUAAAGCAUUCGUAGCCUGCUUGGCUAGUCCUCCGUUAAAUCCAACGAUUCAAUCGUUGGGCUGCGGGGGAUACUGUCCGGCUAGGGGGCGGGAGAGGCCGACGGUAUCCUCGGGGUAGGGGUGAAGUCCUA